RNAcentral lists this ribosomal RNA (460 nucleotides) under uncultured bacterium. RNAcentral describes it as "partial 16S ribosomal RNA". It matches the Rfam family "Bacterial small subunit ribosomal RNA", at positions 338 to 795 of the family's 1533-position model. The record is from RNAcentral.
CCUACGGGAGUCUGCAGUGAGGAAUAUUGGUCAAUGGGCGCGAGCCUGAAGCAGCCAAGUCGCGUGAGGGAGGACGGCCCUACGGGUUGUAAACCUCUUUUGCCGGGGAGCAACGGGCGCCACGUGUGGCUCCACUCAGAGUACUCGCAGACAAAGCAUCGGCUAACUCCGUGCCAGCAGCCGCGGUAAGACGGAGGGUGCGAGCGUUAUUCGGAUUUAGUGGGUUAAAGGGGUGCGUAGGCGGAUCGUUAAGUCAGUGGUCAAAUUGCGGGGCUCAAUCCCUUCCCGCCAUUGAAACUGGCGUUCUUGAGUGGAAGAGAGGUAUGCGGAAUGCGUGGUGUAGCGGUGAAAUGCAUAGAUAUCACGCAGAACCCCGAUUGCGAAGGCAGCAUGCCGGCUUCCGACUGACGCUGAAGCACGAAAGCGUGGGGAUCGAACAGGAUUAGAUACCCUUGUAGUC